UGCCUACGGGGCGCAGCAGUGGGGAAUAUUGCACAAUGGGGGAAACCCUGAUGCAGCGACGCCGCGUGAGCGAUGAAGUAUUUCGGUAUGUAAAGCUCUAUCAGCAGGGAAGAAAAUGACGGUACCUGACUAAGAAGCCCCGGCUAACUACGUGCCAGCAGCCGCGGUAAUACGUAGGGGGCAAGCGUUAUCCGGAUUUACUGGGUGUAAAGGGAGCGUAGACGGCCAUUCAAGCUAGAUGUGAAAGCCCGGGGCUCAACCCCGGGACUGCACUUGGAACUGUGUGGCUAGAGU
This 294-nucleotide ribosomal RNA is filed under the name uncultured bacterium. RNAcentral's name for it is "partial 16S ribosomal RNA". It matches the Rfam family "Bacterial small subunit ribosomal RNA", at positions 335 to 647 of the family's 1533-position model. The record is from RNAcentral.